This is a long non-coding RNA of Chelonoidis abingdonii (Abingdon island giant tortoise), 325 nucleotides long. RefSeq lists it as uncharacterized. NCBI's taxonomy places the organism in Eukaryota, Metazoa, Chordata, Testudines, Testudinidae. The record is from RefSeq and is a predicted model, not a curated record.
CUGAUCUGAACUUUCACACUCCUUCAAAGCACCAGAGGCAACAAAGACCUACAACUGCAGAGAGCAAAGACUCUCCUCCAUCUUCACCAUGGCUCCUUACAAUGAUUCUGGGGCUCCUCUGCCUGGCUUUGCUAGUAACUGCAGGGGUUUUGGGUGCCAAGUUUCUCCAGGCUUCCCUUCAAGUGAGAAGACAGAAAGAGGAACUUAUCGAGAAACAGGCUAUUCUGAAAAACUUCACCCAGUUGGAGGAAACCCUGAAAAACUGCACGCGACAAAGAGAUGAUCUCCAAGCUAAUAACACAGAACUCUCAAAUGCUGUGAAAAG